GAUGAACGCUGGCGGCGUGCCUAAUACAUGCAAGUCGAGCGAACAGACGAGGAGCUUGCUCCUCUGACGUUAGCGGCGGACGGGUGAGUAACACGUGGAUAACCUACCUAUAAGACUGGGAUAACUUCGGGAAACCGGAGCUAAUACCGGAUAAUAUAUUGAACCGCAUGGUUCAAUAGUGAAAGACGGUUUUGCUGUCACUUAUAGAUGGAUCCGCGCCGCAUUAGCUAGUUGGUAAGGUAACGGCUUACCAAGGCAACGAUGCGUAGCCGACCUGAGAGAGUGAUCGGCCACACUGGAACUGAGACACGGUCCGGACUCCUACGGGAGGCAGCAGUAGGGAAUCUUCCGCAAUGGGCGAAAGCCUGACGGAGCAACGCCGCGUGAGUGAUGAAGGUCUUCGGAUCGUAAAACUCUGUUAUUAGGGAAGAACAAAUGUGUAAGUAACUAUGCACGUCUUGACGGUACCUAAUCAGAAAGCCACGGCUAACUACGUG
Molecule: ribosomal RNA, 497 nt
Filed under: uncultured bacterium
Lineage: Bacteria
Description: partial 16S ribosomal RNA
Rfam family: Bacterial small subunit ribosomal RNA
Source: RNAcentral